RNAcentral lists this ribosomal RNA (397 nucleotides) under uncultured bacterium. RNAcentral describes it as "partial 16S ribosomal RNA". It matches the Rfam family "Bacterial small subunit ribosomal RNA", at positions 523 to 918 of the family's 1533-position model. The record is from RNAcentral.
AUACGUAGGGGGCGAGCGUUGUCCGGAAUGAUUGGGCGUAAAGGGCGCGUAGGCGGCCCGGUAAGUCUGGAGUGAAAGUCCUGUUUUUAAGAUGGGAAUUGCUUUGGAUACUGUCGGGCUUGAGUGCAGGAGAGGUAAGUGGAAUUCCCAGUGUAGCGGUGAAAUGCGUAGAGAUUGGGAGGAACACCAGUGGCGAAGGCGACUUACUGGACUGUAACUGACGCUGAGGCGCGAAAGUGUGGGGAGCAAACAGGAUUAGAUACCCUGGUAGUCCACGCGGUAAACGAUGAAUGCUAGGUGUAGGGGGUAUCGACCCCUUCUGUGCCGCAGUCAACACAAUAAGCAUUCCGCCUGGGGAGUACGGCCGCAAGGUUGAAACUCAAAUGAAUUGACGGGG